AUCUCUUCUGGGCCUUUUGACAAAGAUCAAGUGUAGUAUCUGUUCUUAUCAGUUUGAUAAUGUUUUAUUCAACAAUACUCUAUGGGAUAAUAUAU
This 95-nucleotide small nuclear RNA is filed under the name Marmota monax (woodchuck). RNAcentral describes it as "U2 spliceosomal RNA". It matches the Rfam family "U2 spliceosomal RNA". Rfam says of the family: U2 is a small nuclear RNA (snRNA) component of the spliceosome (involved in pre-mRNA splicing). Complementary binding between U2 snRNA (in an area lying towards the 5' end but 3' to hairpin I) and the branchpoint sequence (BPS) of the intron results the bulging out of an unpaired adenosine, on the BPS, which initiates a nucleophilic attack at the intronic 5' splice site, thus starting the first of two transesterification reactions that mediate splicing. Lineage: Eukaryota; Metazoa; Chordata; Mammalia; Rodentia; Sciuridae. The record is from Rfam by way of RNAcentral.